Molecule: unclassified non-coding RNA, 294 nt
Filed under: Hevea brasiliensis (rubber tree)
Lineage: Eukaryota; Viridiplantae; Streptophyta; Magnoliopsida; Malpighiales; Euphorbiaceae
Source: RNAcentral
UGUGUGUGUGUGUGUGUGUUUGUGGGUUGCUGGGCUUUAUAUUAAGCGUCAUCUGCAAAACCAAAUGGAACCGAAGUCAUUCUGUUUGAUUCAGUUCAGUUUUCAUAAUUUUAAUAAUUCAGUUUUUGGUUUUAUCUGAACUGACCAUCUGCACAUCCCUAUGUUUUGCUAAGAAUGCUUCCAUUUUAAUACCUUAGGAUCAGAUAGUGGUGGUCUUUGCAGUGAUGCUAAUGUGCUGUUCCAUUAGUUUGUGUUUGAGAUCUAAUUGAAACAAUAUGUACCCUGUUAUGUCCA